CCGUAAAACCCCCCCCAAUAUAUUCUGAAAUUUGACCUCGGAUCAGGUAGGAAUACCCGCUGAACUUAAGCAUAUCAAUAAGCGGAGGAAAAGAAACCAACAGGGAUUGCCCUAGUAACGGCGAGUGAAGCGGCAACAGCUCAAAUUUGAAAUCUGGCUUCGGCCCGAGUUGUAAUUUGCAGAGGAUGUUUCUGGCGCGGUGCCUUCCGAGUUCCCUGGAACGGGACGCCACAGAGGGUGAGAGCCCCGUAUGGUUGGAUACCAAGCCUGUGUGAAACUCCUUCGACGAGUCGAGUAGUUUGGGAAUGCUGCUCAAAAUGGGAGGUAAAUCUCUUCUAAAGCUAAAUACCGGCCAGAGACCGAUAGCGCACAAGUAGAGUGAUCGAAAGAUGAAAAGCACCUUGAAAAGGGGGUUAAACAGUACGUGAAAUUGUUGAAAGGGAAGCGCUUGUGACCAGACUUGCGCCGGGCGGUUCAUCCGGGGUUCUCCCCGGUGCACUCCGCCCGGUUCAGGCCAGCAUCGGUUCUCGUUGGGGGAUAAGAACGGCAGGAACGUGGCCCUCCUUCGGGAGGGUGUUAUAGCCUGCCGUACGAUACCCUGACGGGGACCGAGGUUCGCGCUCCGCAAGGAUGCUGGCGUAAUGGUCAUCAGCGACCCGUCUUGAAACACGGACCAAGGAGUCGUCCAUUAGAGCGAGCGUUUGGGUAUCAAACCCGCACGCGUAAUGAAAGUGAAAUUAGGUGAGAGCUUCGGCGCAUCAUCGACCGAUCCUGAUGUUCUCGGAUGGAUUUGAGUAAGAGUUUUAACGGACGGACCCGAAAGACAGUGAACUAUGCUUGUAUAGGGUGAAGCCAGAGGAAACUCUGGUGGAGGCUCGCAGCGGUUCUGACGUGCAAAUCGAUCGUCAAAUAUGAGCAUGGGGGCGAAAGACUAAUCGAACUGUCUAGUAGCUGGUUACCGCC
This 963-nucleotide ribosomal RNA is filed under the name Ursicollum fallax. Its description in RNAcentral is "eukaryotic LSU rRNA". It matches the Rfam family "Eukaryotic large subunit ribosomal RNA", at positions 1 to 962 of the family's 3401-position model. The record is from RNAcentral. Lineage: Eukaryota; Fungi; Ascomycota; Sordariomycetes; Diaporthales; Cryphonectriaceae.